UCGUCUUUAUUAGUCCAAGAAAAUGCAUUCUGAUUUAGUCCCAGUUAUUGUUUAUUAAUGGGGGUUAUAGUCUUGUCUAGUCUAUCACCCAGUGCUGC
Long non-coding RNA from Melanotaenia boesemani (Boeseman's rainbowfish), 98 nucleotides. RefSeq lists it as uncharacterized. The transcript is spliced from 3 exons. Lineage: Eukaryota; Metazoa; Chordata; Actinopteri; Atheriniformes; Melanotaeniidae. The record is from RefSeq and is a predicted model, not a curated record.